RNAcentral lists this long non-coding RNA (348 nucleotides) under Mus pahari (shrew mouse). Its description in RNAcentral is "lncRNA (MGP_PahariEiJ_G0012420.1)". Lineage: Eukaryota; Metazoa; Chordata; Mammalia; Rodentia; Muridae. The record is from RNAcentral.
CCGAAAGUGAUCUUGGCUGCUAUGCCCCGUCAUUGGUAGUGCAGGGAAAGGAUGCGGAGCUCGGGGCGUCUGGCCUGACCCCUCCAGAUCCUGAAGCUUUCCUACAAUGGUGUCUUUCUCUGCAGCCUUACAGAAGUGUGGAACUUUCUGGAAGCUGCACAAGUCAGUGCUGGGUCUUUGCAACUUGGUGUUCUGUUUCUAGAAACUUUGGGGUAUUUACAUGUGAUAGGUCAGCACAGAUAGAUUUCCAAUGGGUCCCUAGGAUUGUCACCUGUACUCAACAGUCCUCCUCGACUUUCCAGAAGAGGCUGGAACAGGGCCCUUGAAGAUGUUUGUGGACACCAGAGU